UAUUUCUAGGCAAAACAAAGCGCUAGCGAAAGAGGAGCGAAAGCACACGGAGAACAUCAGCUAUGGCUCAUACUUGCUGUGUGAUCGGUUGUAACGUUAGAUCGCGCGACCGGAAAGGGAACAAGCCUGAAAAUGGUUUAUCUUUUCAUUCUUUCCCCACCUGGAAGCAACAUGAGGGAGCUCGUGUUGCGGAUGUAACCAAAAGACAGCGUCUAGCCUGGAUAGCAGCUGUGAAAAGACCUGAUAUCAAGUUCUCUUCCAUCUCCAAACAUCUGUUGGUGUGCUCGAGACAUUUUCAUUCCGGUAAACCAGCCUAUGUAAUGGAUGAGACAAAUCCUGACUGGGUUCCAGUGCUGCAUAUGGGGCACUCCGGAAUCCUAACAUCUAAUUCUGACCGUCGCAGGCGGCGACAGAAACAAAGAUCGCCAGUCCGAGAGGUAGUAGAGUGUGAAGGUGAGGCCUGUGCAGAAGUUACACAUGAAGAGCAGCCCGAGUUGGACACGACAGAAGACCAACACCAUGAUCACCUUGCCAAGGAGGCUGCGGGCCAGAGUUGUGUUGGACAAGUGGAGGCCGAGUUAGCAGCUGCAAAUGUAGAAAAUCUUGAUCUGACAGUAAGACACACAGAAGCUACAAGACAGACAAAGGAUUGUGUGUGCUGUGAACAGAGCAGAGCAGAAGUAAACCGGCUGUUGGAGGAGAACAGGAAGCUUCAAUCACAACUGAAAAAGACAGAGCUGAAUGAAAAUUUUUUAAAGGAUGACACGGAAAAAGUAAGAUAUUACACUGGACUACCUUGUUUUGUAAUUUUACUGGCCGUGUUCAACAAUGUAAAAGCUUUCCUGCCAGCGUCACAGAAACUGACACAUUUCCAAAUGCUGUUACUCACACUCAUGCGUCUCAGACUUGAUCUUCCUGUCCAGCAUCUUUGUCAUCUAUUCAACAUUUCCCACAAAACUCUGUCUUCUGUCUUUACCGAUACCAUUGAUGUUUUGUAUGCCCGCUUAGGAGCCCUGGUGCACUGGCCAGAGAGGCACUGUUUACAGGCCACAAUGCCCCCUCAAUUUAUUGAAACUUUUGGAAAACGGGUAGCCAUCAUUGUAGAUUGUUUUGAAAUUCGUAUAGAAAGACCAUCAAAUUUAAAGGCACGUGCACAAACAUACUCUCACUGUAAGGGUACACACACCAUGAAAUACCUCAUUGGGAUUACACCUCUAGGUGCAAUUUCAUUCAUUUCCAAGGGGUGGGGGGGAUGUAGUUUUGGCUGACAGAGGCUUUGACAUCACAGAUGCUGUGGGAACGAUGUGUGCAGAGGUUAAGACUCCUGCAUUUACAAAGGGCUUCUGUCAACUCGAUGCCAGGGACAUAGAAGAUACGAGAGCUACUGCCCACCUAAGAAUCCAUGUUGAGCGAGUAAUGGGUAUUUUGCGCAAUAAGUUCAAAAUGCUACAUACCACCAUGCCAAUCGAUCUACUUCUUCCAUGUGAGGGUGAAGAUUUGACCCUUCUUGAUAAAAUAGUGAAGGUUUGCUGUGUUUUGGUGAACAUGUGGCCCAGUGUGGUUGUAAAACCAGAGACAACUGAAACUUGCUCUUGUUAAAUAUUCGUAAACAACGUGUGCUUUGUGUUGUGAUUAUUUCUCUUAAGACAUAGUAAUUUCAAGACAGUUGGUAGUGGGUUAUGUUAUAAAAACGUUGUCAUUACAUUAUGUAGUCAUUAUUGUAUUUGUAAACUGUAACUGACACUUACUCUUCACUCUAACUACUUUGAUCGCCUUUGAAGUUGUUGUAAUAAAAGUAAUGAAAG
Oreochromis niloticus (Nile tilapia) is the source of this 1805-nucleotide RNA transcript. RefSeq lists it as uncharacterized. The record is from RefSeq and is a predicted model, not a curated record. Lineage: Eukaryota; Metazoa; Chordata; Actinopteri; Cichliformes; Cichlidae. The transcript has 3 exons.